ACCUGCGUUAAUUGUAGCGUCCGUUCCGUCGCCAUGAGACCUGAGGCCCUCUAGAGAGGCGUGGGCCGUCUAGGCUGGUGGGCCGCGCGACGGUGCAGCAGUAGUAGCCGUCGGUACUAGAGGAGCUCGUUCGACUUCAGGCAGCUGAAGAUGUCCUUUUAAGGAUCCCUAAACUGCCUCCGUAGUGAUAGACCACGACCUAAUAGGUAUAAACGUCGUGACCGUUACCACAAAAACAAACCUUACCUCGACUCAUCAAUGAAUCGUCAGUUAUGGUGGUGUAGACAUUAACAACUGUCCUCAAGUCUACCCCUCAAGAAUGCCUAUCUAAAAUUGAACUCGAAAGGACGCGAAAGUACACUUAAACGUAGUCAACUACAGUCACUACACGACCCUUGUUUGUCUGAUUUGUAUUGCUUUUGACAAGCGUUCAAAAGUUAACUAGCCUUAAAUCAUGGAUGACCUAGACUCAAGGUACGACCUGGAUAUGGGUGACAGUUGUUUGUGCCUCUACUACAACUUCUUAUGGUACCACUACCAAGUCAACGGAACAGGAGAGCGUUAAAACUAUCGAUAAGAGUGGUCAUGGGACAAAACCAACAGUUGAAAAUACGGGGGACCACAAUAACCUCGUUAGCAGACUUUGGAAGUACCCUUUUCCGACGCGUUUAUUAUUCCCUCUCUAUACUGGGACUUUACCUACCGUCUUAAGAAGAGCCCUUUCAACUGACGUGACUCCUUCAACUUGACACAUUCUCCGUGGUAUAUGUUCCAAUGGGUAGUUAAGCGUAAAAAGUAUUUCCCUCACUAUACUUCCUCUUAGUCCCAGUGGUACUAGUACUGAGUAUGAUACCCCUUGCACUAUGGCUUUCAAAUCAGCGCCGUUACCUUUGUAUACAACGUUUAUAAGGUUUUCUCCGGGUACACGAACGAAACCUUCUGUUCAGGUUGUUCUGACAACUAGGACGUUUCGCAGGACGAGGUUACUGGCCACCGACGUCUUAUCUUCCAAAACACGCCCAGUUUUUCCAAGGACCGUCACAACAUUAUAGUCGAGCUAGACCAAGUGUGAGCAAACUAGGUAGAGUCUAUUUACAAAGGGUGAUGCAGUGUUGUAAGAGUAAACCGUUUUCCGAGAGUAGUUUCUACAAGUUACUUGACUUUUCUGAUAAAGGGAUACAACCGCCUGUGGUACUAUCUAAUCGACCAGUCAGAAUGUAGCAAUUCGUACCACUACAGUUACGUUUACAAUGAUAACUCGUAAUGGAUGUUUAACAUUUCUGACUCGACCAAUGCGACUCUAUGCGUUUCCUCAACUUUCACGAACUUCUUAUACUUAUGUGUCGUGUGUCGUCGAACCACGUGUCGAAGAUACAGGGACAACACUUUAAGGUAAAACUCGGAAGAGGGUACGUCCAGGACCACUGACUUGAAGGUUUUAGCAAGAGGGUGAAGUAGUGUUUGCAGACACGAUAAUAACCACCUCAAAAGUGCCACCGGCCGUAUGAACUGAGGUAGAACGUGUUGUGCGAUUCCAACCACUUCUUCCAACUCGAUCCCUUCCUGUAAACUUGCUAUCAUCUAGGAGUCUUCGCGAGCUAAGGAACGCCAACGGGAUCAAUCAUUAAUAAAAACAUGACAAUCGUUAAGAAUUAGAUAAUUAAUUGUAUAUGUCGCCCUGCCCCAACCAAACUUACUACACCAGUACUAUAUUGACCCAUGAAGUGACAAGGCGAUUCAUUUACCCUUAUUUCUCUGCGACCUAGGAAUAUCGAAAUAGGACUAGAACACUGGUCAGGUUAAGGUUAAAGUCG
RNAcentral lists this ribosomal RNA (1814 nucleotides) under Triticum aestivum (bread wheat). RNAcentral describes it as "partial small subunit ribosomal RNA". Lineage: Eukaryota; Viridiplantae; Streptophyta; Magnoliopsida; Poales; Poaceae. The record is from RNAcentral.